GAUGUCGCGAGGGAUCGAGGAUCUGAACCAAUAGACGUUUCCGCGCUUGAUCAGACGAGGGUGUGAUGGCAUGUCGUUCA
Molecule: small RNA, 80 nt
Filed under: Sinorhizobium meliloti 2011
Lineage: Bacteria; Pseudomonadati; Pseudomonadota; Alphaproteobacteria; Hyphomicrobiales; Rhizobiaceae
Description: putative ncRNA
Source: RNAcentral